CCAGAGAACUUUCCAGAGAUGGAUUGGUGCCUUUCGGGAACUCUGAGACAGGUGCUGCAUGGCUGUCGUCAGCUCGUGUUGUGAAAUGUUGGGUUAAGUCCCGCAACGAGCGCAACCCUUAUCCUUUGUUGCCAGCGGUUAGGCCGGGAACUCAAAGGAGACUGCCAGUGAUAAACUGGAGGAAGGUGGGGAUGACGUCAAGUCAUCAUGGCCCUUACGAGUAGGGCUACACACGUGCUACAAUGGCGCAUACAAAGAGAAGCGACCUCGCGAGAGCAAGCGGACCUCAUAAAGUGCGUCGUAGUCCGGAUUGGAGUCUGCAACUCGACUCCAUGAAGUCGGAAUCGCUAGUAAUCGUGGAUCAGAAUGCCACGGUGAAUACGUUCCCGGGCCUUGUACACACCGCCCGUCACACCAUGGGAGUGGGUUGCAAAAGAAGUAGGUAGCUUAACCUUCGGGAGGGCGCUUACCACUUUGUGAUUCAUGACUGGGGUGAAGUCGUAACAAGGUAGGCGUAGUGCU
RNAcentral lists this ribosomal RNA (522 nucleotides) under uncultured bacterium. RNAcentral's name for it is "bacterial SSU rRNA". It matches the Rfam family "Bacterial small subunit ribosomal RNA", at positions 988 to 1509 of the family's 1533-position model. The record is from RNAcentral.